Molecule: non-coding RNA, 1217 nt
Organism: Megalopta genalis
Lineage: Eukaryota; Metazoa; Arthropoda; Insecta; Hymenoptera; Halictidae
Source: RefSeq, a predicted model, not a curated record
CCUUCUGUUGCAUUUAUGAUUUAGCAGGUAUGAUUUUAUUUUCCUGAUAAACAUUGUAUUCAUGAUCAGUUGGAAAAACGUUACUGGCAGAGAACUUCGUUUUUGUAAAUUGUUUCUGUAACAACAGCUCAUCUAUUUGAAUUAAUGCAACAUCAUGUAUUAAUAUUCAUUUCUAUGUGUUUGUGUUCAUACAUCCAAGUCUUUUGAUUCUUUCAAAGAAAAUAACAAAAUCAGAAAAGUACAUUUUCAUGCAUUAGUUUCGAACAGUUUUGACAAAAUUUAAUUGUUCAUGUGAUUUGUGAUAUUGAUCGUUCGAUUUUAUGUAACUUUGUGACGCUGGAACCGCGUUACAAAAAAUACAAGACAUUUGUGUAUUUUUUUACGUGCGUUUUCACGUUCCGGUGAGGAUCUGUAAAUAUAGUGUUACUGUCGUAAUAUUUUGUGAAGAUCGUUUUUUUCGAAGAAUGUGUUCCACGGAAGAAGACAGGGACAAAAUACGAUUUCGAAGAAGAUGAACUUCUCAUACUACAAAGAAUAUUGUACGCGAUCUGAAACACGCUAAAAAUAUCACACUUCCAUCCCAAUCUAUUUUGAAACGCGAAGGGAUGCGCGUUCUCGGCUUUGAUAUUGUUUUUUUAUCCUUUUCAAUGUUUUUAACGCAACGCCCACGGGUGUGUUACGUUUCAAGAAAUUUCAAACACUUCUGCUUUACGCCGAUAUUUUGUUGAUUUUAUUUGUUGGAAUGCUCUUUAAUGCUCGUUCAAUCUGUGUGAACGGUUUCAGAUUGCCACAUCAAGUCGGGUAUGUCAUAGUCUGGGCCCUACGUGGAAGAUGAAUAUGGCACAGACUAUGAAACACCUGUUUUAUAAAAGUAUUAUAUUCAAGGAACUCUCAUAUAUUUUGGUAUAUGAGUCUUCGUUAGUGAUAUUUGUCUGUGAUAUAGUUUGCCAAAUAUGUAAAACAGUGAUAUCUAGAAAUUUGUAAAUGAGAAAAUCUCAUAUGUUCUAUAAAUUAUCAGAGACUGUAUUAUUGGCACUCUUAACUAAGGAGUAUCUUAUUAAUAUUUUUAUUAAUAUUGUAACUUAUUAAUAUUUUAUAACUUUCAUGAUUUAUAAGCAAUAACAAGUGAUACUUGAAAAUAUGUUCUAAUUAUGUAAUUAAAACAUACAAUGGGAACAUGAAUAAUAAAGCGUUCUUGGAAACGCUUGUAAUUAUUA